GAACCAACCGAGAAGAAAUCGGGAACCUGUCGGAAUUUUCGGAAGUUCGCCGAAGAGAUCGUCGAAGGUUCACGGAGAUCACCGAGAAGGCUCGGCUACUCAUUAAAGUCAUCACAAGUUCGGGAGCUUGCUAGAAGCCCGUCGGCAGAAAGUUCGUCGGAAAGCUCGCCAGAACAAGACUCGACGUUCGCGGUUGAAAAUUUGCUUAGGAUGUGUUUUGGUUAUGUAGUCCACUUGUAAUUAGGAUUAGGAUUAAGAGAUAAUCCUAUAUCCUGGUUAGGGGCCAACUGGGUCCAAAGUCAGAGUUGGUUUAGGCUAAAAAUUAAGCUAAACCAGCGAACUAGAGAGCCAAGAUUGAAGCCCAACUAGUGGCUGAAAAUACUGUAGUCGGGCUGAAAACACUGUAGGCGGUGGCACCGCCUAGCUGGGCGGUGACACCUCCUUGGCUGGGCGGUUGCACCGUCCAGCACCCGAGCGCUGGGCGGUGGCACCUCCUUGGCUGGGCGGUUGCACCGUCCAGCACCCGAGCGCUGGGCGGUGGCACCGCCUGGUUGGGCGGUGGCACCUCCAGCACCGGGAACCCUAAGAGAAUUCAAAUUUUGAAGCCCAAAAUUUGAAUCCUCUUGAGGCCUAUAAAUACCCCUCAAAUCUCAACUGAGGUUCCAACUUUUGAGAAGC
RNAcentral lists this long non-coding RNA (678 nucleotides) under Musa acuminata (dwarf banana). RNAcentral's name for it is "long non-coding RNA (MACU_LNC000577)". Lineage: Eukaryota; Viridiplantae; Streptophyta; Magnoliopsida; Zingiberales; Musaceae. The record is from RNAcentral.